UACGUAGGCGGACGUAUAAGUCAGUGGUGAAAUCUAGCAGCUUAACUGUUAACGUGCCAUUGAUACUGUAGGUCUUGAGUAUAACUGAGGUAGUUGGAAUGCGUAGUGUAGCGGUGAAAUGCUUAGAGAUUACGCAGAACACCUAUUGCGAAGGCAGACUACUAAGUUAUAACUGACGCUGAGGUACGAAAGCGUGGGGAGCGAACAGGAUUAGAUACCCUGGUAGUCC
This 229-nucleotide ribosomal RNA is filed under the name uncultured bacterium. Its description in RNAcentral is "partial 16S ribosomal RNA". It matches the Rfam family "Bacterial small subunit ribosomal RNA", at positions 568 to 796 of the family's 1533-position model. The record is from RNAcentral.